UGGGAUUAAAUAUAUUCAAGUAAUUCCAUCCCGGUUGGGAUCUUCAUCAACCCAACUCAUAAGUUGCUUUCUAUCCACUUUCUUUAUGGCUCUUGUGAAUGGUUUUCUGAUUUCCAGCUUGCCAUCUUCCCGAAUCUUAAUAACAAGCCACUUCCUAUUCUUGAAUCUCACUUGUGCUCCUAUCGGAAGUGGUGUAUAUUCGGAGUGGAUAGUACC
This 216-nucleotide long non-coding RNA is filed under the name Vigna radiata. RNAcentral describes it as "long non-coding RNA (VRAD_LNC018213)". The record is from RNAcentral. Lineage: Eukaryota; Viridiplantae; Streptophyta; Magnoliopsida; Fabales; Fabaceae.